This is a long non-coding RNA of Cyprinus carpio carpio, 1628 nucleotides long. Lineage: Eukaryota; Metazoa; Chordata; Actinopteri; Cypriniformes; Cyprinidae. The record is from Ensembl.
CAGUGUCAGUGGUCCAUUUGAGAGAUAGGUGGCGGUAUUGCACUUAUAAGUUUGCGAUCUGCAAGAAGAAGAUAUGUCACGCGCCAGCUGUAGAAGAGGAUGCGAACCCGCUCAGGACAGUUCGGACAUUGCGGUGAAUCAGAGGUAAAAAACAAUAUAAAUAGUGUUGAGUUUCUUGCACAGACUGAUUGUUUUGUGUCUUUACACAUCAGUGUAUCGCCAUGAGUUGCAGGGUUUAAUUUGGUUUUGUUUGUGUAUGUUUUUUGACUCUCAAAGCAGUGAUUCCCAUUCACUUCUAUUAUAUGACUGACAGACUGCAACAGUUAGAGUUAAACAUCAUGGUUUGUGUCUACUGAAGAAACAUAGUCACCUACAUCUCGGAUGCCCUGGGGACUUGAAUACAAGGCUAAGCAUAUGGACCUUCAUCUUGCCUUGCAAGUCCACAGCAGUGUGGAAAACCGUCUCAUCUGCACAUUGCACUGAUCUUAUUCCCACCUGGAAAAGGUUGACAAGACAACCAGGAUCAUGUUCACUGGUGUCCUGUCGCUUCAACUUGAAAACAACCUCAAGGCAAUACAAGUCCAUGCUUUCACAAUGUCUUGGAACUUGGACUGGUUUUCUGAUUGGCAGGACUAGCGGGAAUUCCAAGACUGUGUUGAAUAUGGUGGUAAGUACCUCAGAGAGCCAUCUUGGGUUGUUUCCUGGUCACCUUUAACAUGGCAUACUUCCAUUAUAACAGCGUUUCGUGCCAUCUGCAUUGCUCAGUUCUUACAUCACUUCUCCACAGUAGCAUGCAUCAGAAAUGGAGAUGAGAAGAUCUACAGGGAGUCAGUGAACGAGAUGUAACCACCUGCAGUGGAGCGUCCUUUUGACAAUGGGGUUGGAGCUGACAUACUUUCAACACUGUAUUCUUAUGGGAAUGCAAUUCAUACCAAACAAACAGAUCAAGAAGGCUGGUGUGAAGCUGAUUUCAACAAAUCCUUAACCCUAAAUAUUGAACUUUAGUAUGCAGCGCAUCCCACAUACUGUAGUUUGUACUAUGUAGAUAAAUGGUACCACACUUAAACUAGUAAGUAAACAUCCAGUGGCUGGUAAUAUAAAGUGCUUAGACUUGUCUUAGAACUAAUUAUGUUCUUUAAAGGUUCAGUAUGUAAUAUUGACAGUUAGUGGUUGAAAUGAAUACUGCAGUCCAAAUUCAAAAUAUUGGAGACAUUUGUUUCUCCUUCCCCUCCUCAGACUCGACGCUCUGAAACCAGCUACAAGCGGCUUAAACCAGCGAAAACUAGCUUAAGCUGGCUUUAAUUUCUAGUUUUUCAUUAUUAUUAUAUAUUUUUGAAUCAGUCUAAAAUUAUUAAAGUUAUUAUUAACUGUAAUAAUCAUAUUUUUAUUAUUAUAGAAUAUAGUAUUAUAAAUACAUAUGUAACAAAACAAUAUACAAAACAAUAUAUAUAUAUAUAUAUAUAUAUAUAUAUAUAUAUAUAUAUAUAUAUAUAUAUAUAUAUAUAUAUAUAUAUCACCUCACACCAUUGCCGUAAUGAGAUUAUUACAAAUUGAGAGUGAAGUGAUUGCGUGGCAUGAGCCAUAAUAUUCCAUGUCAUUUUGAGAACUGCAUUUUGAUACAAAUUGCC